AUGGCCGGCGGAAUUGUGACCGUGGCGAGCGGGGUGAUGAGCCCCCUCAUCGGCAAGCUCACCGCACUCAUGGGUGACGAGUACAACAAGUUCAAAGGGGUGAGGAAGCAAGCCUCAUUCCUCCAGAAGGAACUCAGCGCCAUGAACGCCGCCCUACAGAAGCUUGAGCUCAUGGAUGAAGACCUCGAUCCAACCGUCAAGGAUUGGAGGGAUCAUGUCAGGGAGAUGUCCUACAACAUGGAGAACUGCAUUGAUGAUUUCAUACGCCAAUCUCAGGCUGGCGAUGCCAAGGUGGGCUUCAUCAAGAAGACUGCUCGACACAUCAAGAAGUUGCGUUGGCGUCUUCGGAUUGCCGACCAGAUGGAAGAGCUGAAGAACCUUGCAAUAGAGGCGAAUGCUCGGCGCCAGAGGUAUAAGAUUGAUGAUUGGAAGCCUUCCUCUAGCAGUGUGGUUGUUGACCCUCGAAUCCCAGCGCUCUACCAAGAGGCAUCUACUCUUGUGGGAAUUGAUGGCCCAAGGGAGGAGGUUGCCACUUUGUUGUUGGAUAGUCGAAAGGAUGUCAAGGUCGUGUCCAUAGUCGGAUUCGGUGGUCUUGGUAAAACAACACUUGCCAAAGAAGUAUAUUAUAAGAUUGGAUCACAAUUCGACUGCAAGGCAUGCAUUUCAGUUUCACAGAGGCCUGAUAUGACUGACCUGCUCAUGAAUUUGCAAAAGAAACUAGGGAUGAAGGAUCCCAAGUCAUCUCGUGCUGCUGGCAAGGUUGACGACAUCAUUGAAGAGCUAAGAAAACAUCUGAAAAAGAAGAGGUACCUUAUUGUUGUUGACGAUGUGUGGGAUGUAUCAGCAUGGAAUAUUAUCAAAUGUGCUUUUCCAGAAGAUGGUAAUGGAAGUAGAGUACUAGUUACAACUCGAUUGGAACGUGUGGCUGGCACAGCCUGCCAGAAUGACCGAGGGGGCAUCUACAAAUUGGAACCUCUCAGUGAGGAAAAUUCAAAAAUGUUAUUGUUGAAGAGAGUAUUUGGGUCUGGACAUGGUUGUCCACCCCAACUUGAAGAACUUAUGGCUGAGAUUUUGCGGAAGUGUCAUGGAUUGCCACUUGCAGUUAUCACAAUCUCUAGCCUAUUAGCCAAUGAAGGGAAAUCAAGAAAGGGCUGGGAGAGUAUAAGGGAUUCUUUGGGUGUCCAAUCUGCCACAAAUCCCACAAUGGAACAGAUGAAUGAUAUAUUAAACCUUAGCUAUAUGCAUCUUCCUGCUCAUCUUCGGGCAUGUUUUUUGUACUUUGGUAUGUAUCCUGAGGAUAGCCUGAUCUUAAGGGAUGAUCUGAUUCGGCAAUGGGUAGCUGAAAGCUUUAUCAGUAAUUUAUAUGUGCAAGAUCAGGAGGAUAUUGGCAUGAGUUAUUUCAAUGAGCUUGUCAAUAGAAGCAUGGUUCAACAGUUUGAAUUAGACAAUGGGCAGGUUGUGUGUUCAGUACACGACAUGCUGCUUGAUUUGAUCCUAAGCAAGUGUGCUCAAGACAACUUUGCAAGUGUGGCAUACAGUUAUCAAGACAUGACAAAAUUGCAUGGCCGCGAAUACAAGAUUCGUCGAUUAUCUCUAAGCUCCAUGGCUGGUUGCCGGGCAACAUAUGGCUCAGAUAUUGUUGUUAGCAUGUCACAAGUUCGAUCAUUUACACUGCUGAGAAACUCCAUGCCUAAUCUUCUGUUAUUCAAGUAUGUCCGGGUGCUUAGAAUUCGUCAAGACCAUGGAGACGAGGAGAGCCUUGACCUGACUGCUAUUGGCCAAUUGUUUCAGCUGAGGUACCUGUAUGUUUCAGGACCAUAUGUCAUACAUCUCCCCGCUGAACUUCACAGGCUUGUUUACUUAGAGACACUAGACAUACGUCGUACACGGUGUAUGAGCAUCCCCUCAGAUAUGGUCCACAUGCCCCGCUUGUUCUAUCUUGGUAUAAAGAUCGGGGACAUGCUGCCUGAAUGGAUAGGGAAUAUGAAAUCACUGCGCAGUUUGGAAAUAUGGCCUGACUAUAAAAGCAAGGAGAGGAACUUGAAUGUGAUGAAGGGCAUUAUUGGUCUCGGCAUGUUGACUGAUCUAAGGGAACUGACGAUAGAUGUGAGGUCUUUGGAGAAGUCAGAAGUUGAUGCUUUGGCCAGCUCCAUUGGAAAGCUUUGUAACCUAAACUACAUUCGGUUCUCUGGAAGAUGUAUUGAAGGUAGCCGGUUGGGCUCAUUAUCCAAUCCUUUUCGGCAGAUCGAGGAAUUUCAUGGGGUUAUAUGGUAUUUCCCUAGAGUUCCCAUAUGGAUGUGUGGUCUUUAUUGCCUUCGCAUCCUCGAGUUACAGGUGGAGGAGACGUCAACUGAGGAGGUUCAGCUUCUUGGAGAGCUUCCCUCCCUCGUCCAAUUCAGCUUUCGGUCGUCACGAAUCCCUAAAAAAAGGGCUAUGCUGGGCACGAGACUAUUCCCGAUUGUGGAGCACUUCGAAUUUCAGUCCGAGGAAGAUGUUAUGGUGUACCUGGGGUUCGAGGCAGGAGCCAUGCCCAACCUACGAACCCUCGGUCUCGGUGACAAGAAGUGGGACGGCAAUAUACCAGUCGGGUUGGAGCACCUGUUAUGCCUCGAGAAGAUUCAACUGCAUGGGCCCAACUCCGGUGAUGAUGCCAUAGUGUCUGCAUUCAGGGACGCCUUGUCGGUGCAACCCAACCACCCUUCCAUUGAACACUGGCAUCCAGAAGGUUCCGCUCAUGUUAUGCGGCCUGCGAUUUAG
RNAcentral lists this ribosomal RNA (2757 nucleotides) under Triticum aestivum (bread wheat). RNAcentral's name for it is "partial small subunit ribosomal RNA". Lineage: Eukaryota; Viridiplantae; Streptophyta; Magnoliopsida; Poales; Poaceae. The record is from RNAcentral.